RNAcentral lists this long non-coding RNA (312 nucleotides) under Ananas comosus (pineapple). Its description in RNAcentral is "long non-coding RNA (ACOM_LNC020776)". Lineage: Eukaryota; Viridiplantae; Streptophyta; Magnoliopsida; Poales; Bromeliaceae. The record is from RNAcentral.
AUUUUAUCCUCAAAAAUAUUUGCAAUGAUAGAAUUUUAUAUUCCAAACAUAAACUUUUAUUUCAAUAGAUUAAUGUAAGGGUAUUUUUAUCUUUUUAUAUCUUUACCAACCACUAUCCUUCUUAUCCUACCUACUCCAACAAAAGACUGUUUUUCUUAAUCCUGGACUAACUCCAAUUCUCAACCAAACACAAAAAUACUCUAACCCCACCUUAACCCUGAACUUAACCCUAACCCUGGAAUAACUAGUUUUUUCUUAACCCCGAACCAAACGGUAGCUUAGGGUUUUUCCUUUCGUUCUUCUUCGCUCCUU